AUUGAACGCUGGCGGCAUGCCUUACACAUGCAAGUCGAACGGCAGCACGGGUGCUUGCACCUGGUGGCGAGUGGCGAACGGGUGAGUAAUACAUCGGAACAUGUCCUUUAGGGGGGGAUAGCCCGGCUAAAGCCGGAUUAAUACCGCAUACGAUCUACGGAUGAAAGCGGGGGACCUUCGUGCCUCGCGCUAUAGGGUUGGCCGAUGGCUGAUUAGCUAGUUGGUGGGGUAAAGGCCUACCAAGGCGACGAUCAGUAGCCGGUCUGAGAGGACGACCAGCCACACUGGGACUGAGACACGGCCCAGACUCCUACGGGAGGGAGCAGUGGGGAAUUUUGGACAAUGGGCGAAAGCCUGAUCCAGCAAUGCCGCGUGUGUGAAGAAGGCCUUCGGGUUGUAAAGCACUUUUGUCCGGAAAGAAAUCCUUGGCCCUAAUACGGUCGGGGGAUGACGGUACCGGAAGAAUAAGCACCGGCUAACUACGUG
RNAcentral lists this ribosomal RNA (486 nucleotides) under uncultured bacterium. RNAcentral describes it as "partial 16S ribosomal RNA". It matches the Rfam family "Bacterial small subunit ribosomal RNA", at positions 30 to 507 of the family's 1533-position model. The record is from RNAcentral.